CGGUGGAGCAUGUGGUUUAAUUCGAAGCAACGCGAAGAACUUACCCAGGUCUUGACAUCCCGAUGCUAUUUCUAGAGAUAGAAAGUUACUUCGGUACAUCGGUGACAGGUGGUGCAUGGUUGUCGUCAGCUCGUGUCGUGAGAUGUUGGGUUAAGUCCCGCAACGAGCCGCAACCCUUGUCAUUAGUUGCUACAUUCAGUUGGGCACUCUAAUGAGACUGCCGGUGACAAACCGGAGGAAGGUGGGGAUGACGUCAAGUCCUCAUGGCCCUUAUAGGUGGGGCUACACACGUCAUACAAUGGAUGGUACAAAGGGUCGCCAACCCGCGAGGGGGAGCCAAUCCCAUAAAGCCAUUCGUAGUCCGGAUCGCAGUCUGCAACUCGACUGCGUGAAGUCGGAAUCGCUAGUAAUCGUGGAUCAGAAUGUCACGGUGAAUACGUUCCCGGGUCUU
This 451-nucleotide ribosomal RNA is filed under the name uncultured Polaromonas sp. RNAcentral's name for it is "bacterial SSU rRNA". It matches the Rfam family "Bacterial small subunit ribosomal RNA", at positions 930 to 1382 of the family's 1533-position model. Lineage: Bacteria; Pseudomonadati; Pseudomonadota; Betaproteobacteria; Burkholderiales; Comamonadaceae. The record is from RNAcentral.